CCUACGGGGGGCAGCAGUGGGGAAUAUUGGACAAUGGGGGCAACCCUGAUCCAGCCAUGCCGCGUGUGUGAAGAAGGCCCUCGGGUUGUAAAGCACUUUCAGUGAGGAAGAACGCCUGGUGGUUAAUACCCAUCAGGAAAGACAUCACUCACAGAAGAAGCACCGGCUAACUCCGUGCCAGCAGCCGCGGUAAUACGGAGGGUGCGAGCGUUAAUCGGAAUUACUGGGCGUAAAGCGCGCGUAGGUGGCUUGAUAAGCCGGUUGUGAAAGCCCCGGGCUCAACCUGGGAACGGCAUCCGGAACUGUCAAGCUAGAGUGCAGGAGAGGAAGGUAGAAUUCCCGGUGUAGCGGUGAAAUGCGUAGAGAUCGGGAGGAAUACCAGUGGCGAAGGCGGUCUUCUGGACUGACACUGACACUGAGGUGCGAAAGCGUGGGUAGCAAACAGGAUUAGAUACCCCUGUAGUC
RNAcentral lists this ribosomal RNA (465 nucleotides) under Vreelandella stevensii. RNAcentral describes it as "partial 16S ribosomal RNA". It matches the Rfam family "Bacterial small subunit ribosomal RNA", at positions 338 to 795 of the family's 1533-position model. Lineage: Bacteria; Pseudomonadati; Pseudomonadota; Gammaproteobacteria; Oceanospirillales; Halomonadaceae. The record is from RNAcentral.